UGUAAUCUAAUUUUAUUAUGUUGUUGAAUUUAUAUUUAUUUGUGUUAUUUUAGUUAUAAAUUGUGUUACGUAAUUUUUUUUAUGUACACUCUCUUUUUUUUAUAUUAUUUAAAUUAAUGAUGAUUAAAAACUGAUUAAAGUGUAAUUAUUAAUUCGAGCUCGAGCCUGAACUUGAGCUCAAACCAAACUUUUUAAUUUUGAGCUCGGUCUCGAGCUUUUUUAACGAGUUUCUUAAUCGAGCUUUCCGAGUUCGAGCUCGAAUUUUAUUAACGAGCUUCUUAAUCGAGCUUUUCGAGCUCGAGCUCGAAUUAGGCUC
RNAcentral lists this long non-coding RNA (316 nucleotides) under Manihot esculenta (cassava). Its description in RNAcentral is "long non-coding RNA (MESC_LNC009601)". The record is from RNAcentral. Lineage: Eukaryota; Viridiplantae; Streptophyta; Magnoliopsida; Malpighiales; Euphorbiaceae.